Non-coding RNA from Chlorocebus sabaeus (green monkey), 1847 nucleotides. The record is from RefSeq and is a predicted model, not a curated record. NCBI's taxonomy places the organism in Eukaryota, Metazoa, Chordata, Mammalia, Primates, Cercopithecidae.
AAGGUGUCGGCAGUCACAUCUCUCACAUGAAUUGAAUUUGGGGCCGUAGAGUUCUUUUCAGGGUGUCUGGAACUGCCAAAUCGCCCCUGUCCCUCCCAUUCCUUAAGAGCAUCCCUCACCGCCUCGGUGCCACCGUGACGCCUCAGCCAUGGCGGACCUGCACUACACCGCCAGUUCGUUCGCCCGGGGCCGCGGCGCUUGCGCGCUGCUCUCGCGGAGCGCGCUGCCCCGCUCUGACGCUUGCGCGAGCUACUCAAGAAGUCUUCUGCGCCGCUGCGCCGCAGGGGCCCGGGCGGCCCUUCGCCCUAGGCGGGCUGCGGGCUGCGGGCUGCGGGGGUUUGGUGCGGAGGGCCAACUUUUGGGAAUAACCUGGCUGUGGGCUUAAAAAUCGUAUCAUUCAUUAUCACGGGCUUCUCUUUCUCGAAUACCUUUAACAUUUAUCGCCUUGUUAGUCUGCACAUCCACCUCCGUGAAAGGAAUUCUCAAGGGUCUUUUUGGAGGCUUACCAAGGACAUCCAGCUGCACAGUGAAGGUGGCUUCUCCUGCUCUAUUCCUGGCAACACAUGCAUAAGCCCCUGCAUCUGAAGCUCUGACUACUUCAAAGAUGAGUGAAUGAAGACCCUUCUCAGACACUAUCAUUUUGUGCAAAUCAUCUGAUUGAACUGGUCUUCCAUUUAGAUACCAUGACACAUCAGGAGCUGGCAGUCCGCUCACCUAGAAAGAAAAACACAAGGAAAUGGUAGAAUUUUAAAGUAUUGCAUCACUGAAACCUAUUUGUCCAUAUAUGAAUUUAAACAGUUCCCGUAUCUGAGUGGGUUUGUGAUUGAAAUGCAAAGCAAGGGCUCAAAAGAUGAGGAGACAAAAGCACAGAGAGGUUAAAUGACUUGUCUAAGGUUGCUCAGCUGGAAAGUGGCAGAGCCAGAAUUCAAACCCACAUCAGUUUGGCUUCAGAAUUUGUGUUCUUGUCCAUUGUACAUGGUCUUUGUGAGAUACAACCCAGGUUACAGCGUGAUAAAUGUGAUAGCCUCCAUGGUACAUCAAAGCUAAAGUUCUUGCUAUAAUAGGGGGAUCAAGGGAUGAUUUAGGAAAGAAUCCGUAAGUCAUCUGAGUUGGUUAUCUGCACGUUCUGCCUGUACCAGUGAACUUGAACUGUGGCUGUGUCCUGGAUUCUGCAUUCAAACGUGAUUGGCUGAUCUCUGGUUGUAGAGAUGUCUUGAAGAUGCUGAAGAACAAACACAGAGUUCAGAGGAUGGAAGAAACUGUUAUACCAUCUACAAUGAUUUGAUAUGCCAUUUGCAACCACAGUUUACCGUGGGUUGUUGAAACCACAGAAAGUGAAACUGGAUAAGGAGUUCUGGAGGCUGAGAAGUCCAAGAUCAAGGCACCAGCAGAUUUGGUGUUUGGUGAGAGCUGUCUCCUUCAUAAAUGGUGCCUUGUUGCUGUGUCCUCACAUGGUAGAAGGGGACCCCACUAAAAAUUGGACUGUUCAACUCACCUGGCAACCACUCCCAGAGCCCCUGGAACUCCGGCCCAAGGCUCUCUGACUGACACCUUCCCAGAUCUUCUUGGCUUAGCAGCUGAAGACUGACGCUGCCCGAUCAUCUUGGAAGCCUCUUGGACCAUCACAGAUGCUUUGGGUAACUCUUACAGUGGAAGGUUCACAUGUCGCCCCUGAUCCUGCCUGAAGCGGCCCUGAGAAACAUCACCCAUUAUCUCUCCAUACCACCCCUAAAAAUUUUUGCUGCCCUAACACUUUACCAUUAUUAUUAUUUUUAUUAAUAUAAGAAGACAGGAAUAUCAGGGCUCUGAGCCGAAGCUAAGCCAUCAUAUCCCUUGUGACCUGCAUG